This 251-nucleotide ribosomal RNA is filed under the name uncultured prokaryote. RNAcentral describes it as "partial 16S ribosomal RNA". It matches the Rfam family "Bacterial small subunit ribosomal RNA", at positions 524 to 774 of the family's 1533-position model. The record is from RNAcentral.
UACGGAGGAUGCAAGCGUUAUCCGGAUUUAUUGGGUUUAAAGGGUGCGCAGGUUGUUUGAUAAGUCAGUGGUGAAAGUCUGUCGCUUAACGGUAGGAUUGCCAUUGAUACUGUUAGACUUGAAUAUGGAUGAGGUAGGCGGAAUGUGUAAUGUAGCGGUGAAAUGCAUAGAUAUUACACAGAACACCGAUUGCGAAGGCAGCUUACUAAUCCAUCAUUGACGCUGAGGCACGAAAGCGUGGGGAUCAAACA